CAGUCGAGCGAGCAUAACCAGCAGAUUUACUUCGGUAAUGACGCUGGGGAAGCGAGGGGCGGAUGGGUGAGUAACACGUGGGGAACCCGCCCCAUAGCCUGGGAUACCACUUGGAAACAGGUGCUAAUACCGGAUAAGAAAGCAGAUCGCAUGAUCAGCUUAUAAAAGGCGGCGUAAGCUGUCGCUAUGGGAUGGCCCCGCGGUGCAUUAGCUAGUUGGUAAGGUAACGGCUUACCAAGGCAAUGAUGCAUAGCCGAGUUGAGAGACUGAUCGGCCACAUUGGGACUGAGACACGGCCCAAACUCCUACGGGAGGCAGCAGUAGGGAAUCUUCCACAAUGGACGCAAGUCUGAUGGAGCAACGCCGCGUGAGUGAAGAAGGUUUUCGGAUCGUAAAGCUCUGUUGUUGGUGAAGAAGGAUAGAGGUAGUAACUGGCCUUUAUUUGACGGUAAUCAACCAGAAAGUCACGGCUAACUACGUGCCAGCAGCCGCGGUAAUACGUAGGUGGCAAGCGUUGUCCGGAUUUAUUGGGCGUAAAGCGAGCGCAGGCGGAAGAAUAAGUCUGAUGUGAAAGCCCUCGGCUUAACCGAGGAACUGCAUCGGAAACUGUUUUUCUUGAGUGCAGAAGAGGAGAGUGGAAUUCCAUGUGUAGCGGUGGAAUGCGUAGAUAUAUGGAAGAACACCAGUGGCGAAGGCGACUCUCUGGUCUGCAACUGACGCUGAGGCUCGAAAGCAUGGGUAGCGAACAGGAUUAGAUACCCUGGUAGUCCAUGCCGUAAACGAUGAGUGCUAAGUGUUGGGAGGUUUCCGCCUCUCAGUGCUGCAGCUAACGCAUUAAGCACUCCGCCUGGGGAGUACGACCGCAAGGUUGAAACUCAAAGGAAUUGACGGGGGCCCGCACAAGCGGUGGAGCAUGUGGUUUAAUUCGAAGCAACGCGAAGAACCUUACCAGGUCUUGACAUCUAGUGCCAUCCUAAGAGAUUAGGAGUUCCCUUCGGGGACGCUAAGACAGGUGGUGCAU
RNAcentral lists this ribosomal RNA (1021 nucleotides) under Lactobacillus helveticus. Its description in RNAcentral is "bacterial SSU rRNA". It matches the Rfam family "Bacterial small subunit ribosomal RNA", at positions 59 to 1046 of the family's 1533-position model. The record is from RNAcentral. Lineage: Bacteria; Bacillati; Bacillota; Bacilli; Lactobacillales; Lactobacillaceae.